CUCGCACUCGGCCGCCGUCGGCGCGGCUGCCGACGCCGCAUUAUAUAGCAAGUGGCGGGGCCGUGACGUCGACGCUCGGCGCCCCACCUCCCCCGCGCGGCCAAUCGGGGCCGUGCGCCGCUUAAAGGGGCGAUGCCGCGGCUCAGGCGCUGGCGCGGGGUCCACCGGCGUCGCGCGGCCCGGCGGCGCCGCCGCCUUUGUCUCCGAGGGGGAAGAUUCUGGGCCUCGGAGGCCUCCGCGCCUUUGCUGUGCCCAAUCAGAGCGGCAGCUGCCGAGCCUCCCCCGGAGUCCUGACAUCGAACUUUUCUGUGAGGUGUGCGGGCAGCUCGGCCUCGUUCCGCCCAAACCGCAGGCGGCGCCGCGCCUCGAGCGGGGUUUCCCGUCGUUUCCUGCCCCGGGGAGGGUUUGGCGGGUGUUCCCCGUCCGCGUGGCGGCCGCCGCGGGGUGACCGGGUGGCCGCAGACUCCCGGCCAUGGCGAGUGGAGCCUUUGCGAGCAGGAGGCCCGCGCGCACCGUAGGCCUGCGGGCCGAGGCGUGGGAGGGACCGCAAGGGACGGUGCGGACAGAGUGGGGCAGCACGGGACAUUAAGAGACGGUGUGGGGCGUCGAGGGACAGAGUCGCACACCGUGGGGCUGAGCGGCACAGCACGGGACAGGGUGGCCACCCUGGUGAGGGCCUUUCAUGAGCCCUCCUAACGCGGGUCUGCCCGGCCACCUCUCCUCCGACCACAUGUUUGAAAGUCAAGGCCAGGCCCUGGUGGCCGUUGACCCGUGGCUUCCAGGAGGAGCACCCCCAGCCCCAACCGGGCCUCGCCUUCCGUCUCCGAUCUCGAGUUUACUUAUUAGACCCACGCUGCUCUCCACAUCUCCGGGCAUCCGGGUAGCCGGCGAUGCCCAAGGACAAAACACCAGCUAGCCUGCAGGAGGAGGCUUCUCCCCUGGAAGGUGAUGCAACUUAGGCUUAUAGUUUAACCGAAAAAUAAAUAAUACAAAUGAUAACAAACCAAGAGUAACUAAAGUAAGAAAAAAAGCAAACAGACAGAAACCCUCCAGUUUUAACCGGAACAGUCCCCUGAAUGGUACUCUCUCUUUAAGUAGAGGCCACAGACCUCCGGCUGACCUCCUUCGCCUUGGAGAGCCCCUUCUUGGUUUCAGCAGUUGUGCCCGAGAGUUACACAGUUAGCACUACCUAAUUGGGGGAGUUUAACACAUAGAAUGAGAUUCUGACCUCAUUAUCAGGUUAACUAUUAACUUACGCACUCCAUGAAACGAUUUUCCUUUUCUCCCCUGUUAUUCACUUACAUCCUUUUAAAUCCGAUUCAAAGGCCCAGUUUUGAAUUCAAGGGCUUCACGCACACACACAAAUCUGAAGUAUCCCUUUGCCCUCUCUCAGUUGCAAGACAAACCCAUGUUUAGCAGAGAGCUCUCCUCUCCUUUCUGAUGGGCUUUUUCUGGUCUAUGGGGGCUCUGGGGUCAUAGGGCCUGAGUCGGGUCAACCAACUUAUGGUCUUCUUGCCAUUGAUUUAGUUAUUAUUUUAGGAUGAUGGAAAUCGGUUACAACUACUCUCUGGCUUUCUUCACCAAAUUAGGCUCUUUGCUGUGCGGAAACUCCAGAUCGUUCUCCCCCAUUUUGGUGUCAUUUAUGUUGAAGACUUAGCCAUAUGCUGUUAUCAGUGUAUAAAAAGAACUAGCCUGAGAACUUGCCAGAGAACAUCUUUUCAGGCCUCACAGUGCAGAGCGUUUACUGAAUGGGGACCUAGAUGAACUCAAGUUUCAUCCGAAAGGAACCCUCGUUACGCUAAUUCAAGCCACUACAAUACAGUUGUAAUUUGUGCUUUGGCCUUAUUGGCAUGCUUUUCCAUUCCCCUAUUCAUUAACAGCGAUAAUUGCCAGAGCAACCAUCAAACACACCCCUUCUUUAGAGAAAGAAGAUCCACGGGAUACUCACUCUACGGUUGUCAACCGUAUGGUGUCCCGUUUUGGGAAGCUGUCAAAAAUCAAAAAAUCACUGACUUCAUCUUGAGGUUCUUCGGUGGCAUGAUGGCUGCCCGCAGCUCUGAGCAUUUCGCAGGUAGCGGUACCAGUGUCCGUCUAUAAGACCAUAAGCCCGUCGAAGUCAGGGCCUUCUCUCAUCCAUCACGAUGCCCACAGAUCCUGGCGCUGUGUCCAUAGGGACAGUAAGUAGACAAGUGGAAGUAUUUCUCACGAGCGAAGACCCGGAUGAGGCAUUCGGUCAGACAGCAUGACACGUCAAAGGAUUCUGCUGGGCACUUACGCUGUGUGGGAAAGUCAGCAGAUUGAAACCAGGUUUGGGGUCCAGAAGGCCAGUCUUAAGUCCUAGUAGUCUCACUGCUUAGCUAUAUUAUCACCAAGACAUCCCUGUGCUAUCGGGAAGCGUGCUAUCGCUUCUCAGCUUCGGAGAGUGACAACCUCUCUGUGCUUCAGUAGCCUCACUUGAAAAAUGGAGCAAAAAACACCUUCAAAUGCCUUAUCUUCUUCAGCCACGUUAAGACGCGGUUUGGGUUUUUGUUCACGGCGCCAUAAGCAAAUGCUGUAAAGCGUUUGGUUUUCGUUUUCCUGAAAAAUGACAACAUUAAGAUACUUUGCAGCAUUUCUCAAAUGAUGGGUAAAAUUGUAAGAAGAGCCUUGUCCUUUUUCUCUUGGCUCAUCUGUAACUCCAGACUUCCUGUUUGUUCGGGUUGUCGGAUGGCUUGGAAUCCUGGAGGUUGGAGGGAAGCCGAGUACCUGAAUAAGGCUAAUGACUUUGUAGAAGCCCAUACUUCUUGCCUAGUGCUCACCUCCCGCUACCACUAGCCUCGCACAAGCCGCUGUCAUCUCUGGCCUCCUAACGUACUUCCCCUUCUUGCCUCCAGCCCACUUUUCACAGCACAGAGCAGACGUUCCCCGAAUGCACAUCUGAUCGUACUCCUACUGACCGAGAGCCCUUCGGGAGGCGCCCCCGGCUGGCCAGGGCUCUUUCUCAGGCUCCUUCUCUUCUCUGUCAGUCUGUCUGUCUCUCUCUCUGUCUGUCGCACUCUCUCUGUCACUUUCAGUUCUUCCAACCAGCUGGACUCAGUUCUCUCCACCCCAGACCUAGUUCUGCUCUUCCUUCUGCAUGGAAUAUUCUCUUCUGUCUUUGCCUGGCCAACUGUACUAUCGUUCGGGUCUCAGUUUUAAUGGCACUUCUUGGUGGUGGGCCUUUCCUGACCCCCUAGACCAGACUGAGCAUCCUUGUGAUGUGAUCCUGACUCUUCCUCUGGCCUGCCUCGUUCCGUAGAGCUGUCUGUAAACUCCAUGAAGGCAGGAGCAAGCUUCUGCUGUUCACCUCUGCACCUCCAGGACCUGCCGAGUGCUGUGUGCCUCGCGUAGAUGGCGUGCCUCAGGUAGGAGUGUGCCUGUAAUGGGUUCAUUUUAAUAGAAAGGGUAGUUCCAGGGUGCCCGGGUGGUGCAGUCAGUUGAGCGUCUGACUUCGGCUCAGAUCAUGAUUUCACGGUUUGUGAGUUCGAGCUUCGCAUCGGGCUUGCUGCUGUCAGUGCUGAGCCUGCUUCCUGUCAAAUCCUCUGUCCCCCCUCUCUGCCCCUCCCCUCUCGUGUUCUCUCAAAAAUAAAUAAAACAUUUUUUUUUUUUUUAAAGAAAGGAUAGUGCCACCUAGCCAAAGCUAUAUCAUUUACUCUUCCACUGUGGUGCUCAUUAAUUCAGUUGUUAAUCCUCUACUCUGCCCGGCACUGUUCUGAGGGCGGGGCAUACAGCACUGAACAACACAGCUAUAGAUUGAGCUGGAAGGACAUUUCAGGCAGAAGGGAAGCCUGCAAAGCAGGUGGUUUCAAGGAACAGCUCGAAGGGCGGGCAGGAGGCUGGAGAACCAUGGGCCAGGAGAAGGAGGAAGGAGUGAGGACUUUGAACUUUACUCAGCCGGGGGUCUGAGCAGAGGAGGCAGGGGAAAUCCAACUGACUUACGUUUUAAAAGGAUCCCUCUGACCUAUGUAUAGAUUACUGACUCAAGGGAGAUAAGGCAGAAAGCCAGGACGCUAGUUAAGGAAGCUUUUCGAAAAUCCAGGCGGAAGGAUGUCAGUGACUUGACCCAGCAGCUAGUAGUGGGGGUGGUGAGAAACAGUUCACUUCUAGAUCUGUUUUGAAGGAAGGGCCAAGAGGAUUUGCUGCUGGGCUGGAUGUGGGAUGUGGGGAAAGCGGGUGGCAAGGAUGGCACCCAGGGGCUUUGGCCUGGGUGACCAGAAGGAUGGAGCUGCCGUUAAGGGGACGGGCAGGUGGCCGGUAGAGCAGGUUUCGGGGGACAGAUGAGGAGCUCAGCUUCCACAUACUUAAGAUGCCUAUUAGUUACCGGCAUGUUUUUGCGUCCUAAAGUAAUGCAUCUAAGAUGGCAAUUUUCUUUAAUCUAUAUGUGGAAAUAAUGAAAUACCAUACAUUCCCCCCCCACCCCCCCACCCCCGAAAUGGAAACGCAAGAUUGCCCUUUUCUGUAAAAUUCUAUGCCUGGCCAUUUCCUGUGCGGGUGCACUAGGAUUCCAUGUUUCUUAGAGUAGACGUCAACCCGGAUCCUGUUUUAGAACCAGUAGAAUUGUGCACCGCUGAUGUUUGCUUCACUGUAUAAGGUAUUUAUUUGCUUUUUUUAAAAGUUUAUUUAUUUUGGGAGAGAAGGUGUGAGCAGGGGAGGGGCAGAGAGAGAGGGAGAAAGAAAGAAUCCCCAGCAGGCUCCGAGCUGUCAUCGUGACCUGAGCCGAAAUCAAGACCUGGAUGCUUAACCAACUGAGCCACCCAGGCACCCCUAAGAAACUUAUUUUUAUAGUAAGCCUGUUGGGGAAAAAAACAGGUAACUUACUCUAUUUCCAUACCUGAGUAAAAUGAUGCUAAGUACAAUUUAUCCAAUGACUGAGGUCUUGGGUCACCACUUAGAAUAAGCAGCUGCCCGCUGGGCACGCUGAGGGCCUCCUAUGUGCUGGUAGCUCUCCUCACUGUCACCGUGACAGGUAUGUGAGGUCCCUUGGGUGAGUUGGAGUUUUUGCCAUGGUGUUCGCUCAUUCUAUCCUUCCCGCUUUUUUUCCUUGUGUCCGCCCCCCCCCCCACACACACAUACACACAGAUGAUAUUUUUAGCACACUUGCUUUCCAUUUCUGUUCUGACUGUUGAAAUACCUUUUUCUUUUCCUUUCUCUUCUCCUUGCCUUCCCGGCGAGUUCCAAUGAGCUGAGGUUGCCAUAUGUGAUUUUUAGAUAAGUGGGCUGUUACUAGUUUUGCAUUUUCCCUUCUGCAACUUUAACUUUUUGCCUGAACUGCUGGGGGCCAUACUUACAGGCCAAGGGCCGGGUUGAUGCUGAAAAGCUACUAGUGGAUGACAUCUGACAAGAUACAGAUAAUCAAGAGUAUAGUCAUGACUAUGUCUAUGCAGAACUGGUCUGUAUCCUUUUCCUCGGCUAGAUAAGUUUUAUAUACUCCCCCCAAGAAUAGCAUUCUUUUUUUAAAAACAUUUUUAAAAGUUUAUUUAUUUUGAGAGAGAGAAAGUACACAGAAGCUGAGGAGGGGCAUAGAGAGAGAGGGAGAGAGAGAGAAUCCCAAGCAGGUUCCAUGCCGUCAGCACAGAGCCCAACGCAGGGCUCGAUCCCAUGAACCAUGAGAUCGUGACCUGAGCCGAGAUCAAGAGUCAGAUGCUUACCCAACUGAGCCAUCCUGGUGCCCCACCCCCCAGGAAUAGUAUUUUUUACAGAAGAUGCCCCAAUUUGUGUUGUUGAUAACUAACACCGAGUAGAAAGAGCCAUUUCAGAGGAAGAGUUUUCGAAACUGGAAGACUGUGUAUGCCGUGAAAAUUAAUGUUAAUAAAGUCAGAUAUGUUGCUAGAUAUUUGUAUCCAGAAAAAUGGAUUUAUCACUGAGUUAACUUAAAAAAUUUUUGCCUGGUCCAAAAAUUACUUUUAAUUCUAACCACCGAAUGAUAAAGCAUAGUUCCUAGAAUGGAUGCAUUCUUCCAACAGCUGGUUUUCUCGGAUUAUUCAGGAUUUUUGCUGGAAUCCAAGUGGUCUUUCAAGAGAACCGAUGAUUUUCUGAUGAAGCUGUUCACACGCUUUUGAAGCCAGGAGAAGGGGUGAGUAUUAAUUUGCAUUCUCUUCGGCUAUAGAAUUCUCUCUCAGGCCAGCAGUGUUUGAUGAAGUCUGAAUUCCCAUUUCAGUUGUAUAGACAACAAGACUGUAUGAAGGUAUGAAAUUGUCUUGGUAAGACAAAGUAAAAUUGGGCCACCACACAAGCAAACGUGGACAUCACCUGUAUCUGGAGUCUCAAAGCCAUGAAAUACGCAGUGUUUGAAAGGAUACGAGAAAUACAUUGAUUUGAUUUGAUUUUUUUCUUCUUGGCCAUCCUUCGUGUUACAAAACAGUUGAAGCUUAGUAUCGUUUCAAGCACGGAGUGUAAAGUGAUCGGUGAGGCUGCAUGGAGGAAGGGCAAGAGAAAUGAAUUUGAAGGACAAAAAAAAAAAAAAAAAAAACCAAAAAACCACAUAUCCUUCGAAGACCUCCCUGUCUCAAGGACAGAAAAUGCCUUGGCAGUCGCGAUUUUUGUGCAGUCAGAAGGGAGCUGAUUUCCCAGCUGUUCUGGUGUAUUUUCCUUAUUAGUCUUUGCUCCCACGGUCUAAAAGCAAAUACCGGAUCUAAGCGCCUACAGUACUGGUCAAGGACUGCAGCUUCCCUCGUGUGUGACUCACAGGCGCGAGCAAACCACCUACUGUAACAGCUGGCCCCAGACCCUGGCCCGGACACAGCGCAGCAGCUGCCUUGCUGGACCCCUGCUUGCUUGGCUAUUAACUGUCUUAACUGUUGCUCUUACCUUUAUGGGCUGUGGUAAAGGCAGGCUUUAUUUAUUUAUGUUUGUUUGUUUGUUUGUUUUUGAGAGAGAGAGAGAGCGCGCACGCGCGAACAAGUGAGGGAGGGACAGAGAGAGAGGGAGACACAGAGUCCAAAGCAGGCUCCAGACUCCGAGCUGUCAGCACAGAGCCCGAUGCGGGGCUUGAACCCACGGAUGGUGACAUCAUGGCCUGAGCCGAAGUCGGACGCUUAACCAACUGAGCCACCCAGGUGCGCCAAAGGUGGGCUUUAGAUACAUAGACCCUUGGGUCCAUUUUUCCCCAAUUGUAUUUCUCGGUUCUUACUAAAAGAUCUCAGCGGUCACCUGGAAGCGUAAUUUCGAUUUAGGAUGCUAGAAGGCCGGUCAUCAUUUACAACGGCCCUUCAUGUGCUUUUCUGCAUGCGUGAUUACUUUCUUGAUGAACAAAGGUUAUGCUUAGUUUCAGGCUUGGUUAUUAUUUGUUACUAUUACGAUCAGUAUGAGGUGAACCACCUUUAUAAGAACUUGUUUCCUUUUUUUUAAUGUUUAUUUUUGAGAGAGAGACAGAGGGCAGGCGGGGAGGGGCAGAGAGAGAAGGAGACACAGAAUCCGGAAGAGGCACCACGCUCCGAGGUGUCAGCGCAGAUCCUGACGGGGGGCUGGAACUCACAAACUGUGAGAACGUGACCUGGGCCAAAGUCGGACGCUUAACUGACUGCGCCACCCAGGCGCCCCUAUAAGAAAUAGUUUCUUAAAACGGGAUGGCAUCUUGCUGCGUUUCUUUGACUCUCUGCCAUACCUCUCCUCUGCCCAGAGGACCAUUCUCGAGGCUUCACUAGAGAAAGGAAGAGCACAGCACCUGGCCUCAGAAAGCCUCCAAACCAGUUGUGGCUACAGAUUAACAUGUGAGAAUCAAAGAUUCCCAAAGGAAGGCAAAUCAGAUGCAGUUUCAGAGAAAGGAGAGAUUUUUUUUGCGGGGCAGGUCAGUCUGUGCCCCAGUGCUUGUGUCUUGCAGCCUUGUGUUUUACUGGGUAUUAGUGUUGUUUUGCAAAAGUUGUUCUGGAGUCACACGCCAUGCUAUUUUCAUCUUCUGAUCUCCCUAUUCUAGUACAUUCCGGCCCCUGCACGGGACACGACAUUUUACACAUAACACGUGCCAGGUAAACAUUUGCUGACAUAAUUGAAUGGGAGAAGGCUUUGUGGAAAAGGCAGAGCUUGGGCCCAGCUUUAGAUAGAGAGGGGAGGUUGGCCAGUGACAUACUCUGCCUGUAUAUGAGUCAUUUGUUCUGGGCCUUGAGGAAGAACUUGCAAAGUCAAAACAGAGCAGAGACACAUGCCAGGUCGAAAGAGUAACUACGGCAGAGCAGAGGGUUAGUGUAUGAAAUAUGGGGUCAAGGAGGAGGCCUGGCAAGACGUUGUUCUGGAGAAUAACUGGGACGGUAGGGUAGCCAGAUACAACAGCAGGGCCCCUCGGAGGUGCUGUGGGUGGAUGGACACCAAAGUAAUAGUCUUUCUCUCCCUAUCUCAUGCUGAGGACACACUUUUCAUUUGUACCUUAGUGCAUUUAUUGUAGUCUUCAGGGGUGGGCGGGACCUGUCAACGUGAUGUCAUAUUUCCCUUCUUUACAUGCGGAUGUUUUAUUUGUUAAUCAGUUUGUUCUGGAAUUGGUUUGUUUUCAGGAAAGAGGUGGAACGCAUUUUGAAACACCAUUUGAAAAUUGGAUUGAGAACAUUAAAGUUUCUUUUUUUCUUCUUUUCUGUUUUUCCUGGGACCCUGGAUGACUUUAUAGAGAUGCCAUGGAUGAAGAAAAGGAAUUCUUGAAAACUAGAAAGCUACCUAGCUUGGGGCAAAGCAGGAAAAAAACAGCAGGUUUGGGGAAAUGAGUGUUUCUGCGCUGGCAGUAUUGCGGGCCAUCGAAGAAGAGACAGAAAUUGCCAUUUGAAAUCAGGGCUCAAGUGUGAGAGAAGUCAGGGCUGGAAAGAGAUUGAACAGUGGAAGUGGUAGUUAGAAAUGGGGGACAGUGCCUGGGGAGAGCAGGUGGAAUGGAGUUCUUUUUUUUUAAAGUUUUACUUUUGAGAGAGAGAGAGACAGAGUGUGAAUGGGGGAGGAGCAGAGAGAGGGAGACACAGAAUCCGAAGCAGACUCCAGGCUCCGAGCUGUCAGCACAGAGCCUGACGUGGGGCUCGAACUCACAAACCCCGAACCGCGAGAUCAUGACCUGAGCCAAAGUCGGACGCUUAACCGACUGAGCCACCCACGCACCCUUGGAAUGGGGUCCUUAACUGGGAUCCAGAGUGGCUCUGGUGAUUGAAGGUCAGGGCUCUAUAGCCACCGGAAGUUAUAAGCAAUAUUUUCUUUGAGUUUCCACUUGGUAUGUUGGGAUGGAGUGUGUUUGUAACUUUGGUCAGGUUCUUAGAGGUAUCCAAAGGUUAAGAAAUCGCUGAUGUAGAAUGGGAAGAGGAGAGCAAGAAGGUCAGAACUCUGAGGGGAAAUCAACAUUUAAGGAGUUCUCAGAGAAGAGCCAUGGAAAAAGGCCAAAGAGAUUGGGAAGGCAGAAAUCUAUCUGGGAAGUCAGGCGGAUGCGGAAGGCAAUGGAAUGCGUGGGCGCAGGGCAACAAGGUUAAAUGGUAUCUUAAGGUCGGGUAGGGCUAAAAGAAUGUGUUCGAUUGACCAUUAGGAAGUCAUUGGUGACUUUCAGGAGAGCGGUGUAAAUGGAGGCACACUGUGAUAAGUGGAGGAUGGGACUCAGGGAGCCGGGAAGUUAAGUCCAGCUUUCUCUUUCUGGAAGGUUAACAUUUGACAAGAGUGAAUAUUUACUGAGUUCCUGAGAAGGGCUGGAACUUGGCCAUUCACUGCAGACAUAAAUGUGAGCAAGGUAACAUAGGCUUUGCUCUCACGGAUCUUAGGGUCUCGUGGGAGAGAUGGGCAUUAAUCAAAUAAUGUCACAGAGUAAGCAUGUCAUCACAAACUGGGAAGAAAUGUGGUGCCCGGCACUGAAGCAUGACCUAAUCUGGGGUCAAAGAACGACCCCUGAAGAAGUGAGCUUUGAGCUCAGACCUGAAGGGUGAAUAGGAGUGAAACAGUGAAGAGAACGGGGGCAGAGAGCAGAACAUCCUAGGCAAUGAGGGAAGCAAGAAUGAAGUGUACAGAGAGCGAGGGAAGCCCAGCGACAGGAGUCCAUGCUGGGUCUUUUAAAUGAGCAUAAAGAUCUGCGUCUAAGAACAUUCAGGAAACUGCUAACCUGUGGAUGGUUGCGCACGGUUUUGCAUUUCAAAACCAAAUAGAAGAAUCCAGGGGAGGAAUAAUGGUACAACCUUGGACGAGCAUCCUGGCAAAGAAGAUGGAGAGGAGCAGAGGGUUUCAGGAAUCAUGCAGGAGCUGAAAUAGCACCAGAAGGUAGGAGAGAGAACGCUACCUUCUUUCUUAACGAGUGCUUUAGGAGGUCCUGCGAAAAGUAAAGUUCUCCUUCAGGUGCUGAAUACCGAAGCUCAUUUGUAGGCAACGGGAAAGAGUAGUGGAGAGAGCGAGCUCGAAGACAUACAAACCCGGAGGGGACACACGGCUACUAGAAUCGGAAACACUGUUCUCUAAAUCGCGAAGAUGGGGCUGGUGAAUAUACAGGUGUGGUUACAGGUAGAAAGGAGGCAAACCGAGACAUGAAGACUUGGUUCAUGAAGGGGGGCUUGUGUCUGCUUUGGGGUGACGCUGUGACCCCCCGCCCCCAAAUAAUAGGCUAGCAUCAGGCUCUGGAGGAUGAACAGCAAGAAACUCUAAGACAGUUCAUGGAAGGGACACAUUUACCAUUUGUGUACGUGCACAAACACUGUGUGACCCUCACAGUACCUCUUGGAGCCCAUGUUUCAGUUUUAUGAUUAGAAACAGGCAGGGAGCUUUAAAUGUGCAAAUGUCCAACAGCUGUCUCGAGCUGUGUUCAAAAAUCUCCUUUUCCCCCGAAUCCAUGAGGUGGUUUGCCCAACAUUGGGUGGUGGGUGUCGUACAAUAAGGAAAAGCACAAAUCUCAGACACUCGAGUUGUUACUCAGGAGAACCGGAUCAUUGUCUUACAGACAAGGCACCCACACAAGUCUGAAUUUCAAAUGACAUGUUAACUUGCAUUUCAUGCUAACAAUUAAGUCCUCCCAUAGGGACACCAGUGAGGCCAAUCAGUCUUUAAAACUCAACACUGAUUUUGGGGCACCUGCGUGGUUCAGUUGGUUAAGUGUCCGAAUCUUUGACUUCGACUCAGGUCAUGAUCUCAUGGUUUGUGAGUUCAAGCCCCGCUUCGGGCUCUGCACUGACAGCUCAGAGCCUGCUUGGGAUUCUCUCUCUCUCCCUCCCUCUCUCUCUGCCCCUCCCCUGCUUGUUCUCUUUCUCUAAAUAAAUAAAUAAACUUAAAAAAAAAUCAACACUGAUUUUAAGUUUAGUAAGAAAGAUGCAGUGAGAAAUCAUAUGUCAGAUCUCUCAAGUCGAAUGUGCCUAUUUAAUGUCCUAGCUCAGAAAAAGAGAUCGGGUUUUUAGUUGACCUUUAAAAAAAUGAUCUGAGGGAUUCAUGUUCAUCCCUCCCCCUUUCUGAUACAGUUGUGGGAAACUUGGACUCUUUCAACACAUCAGAUCCAACUGCAGAAUCUCCGAGUGAAUCUACGUGUUUGUGACGACUCAUGCUGCAGGGGUACGGCUUUGUCACAAAAUGGCUUUUCUCUCUGCGAGAAAAAUGUGUAACCUCUGAGCAUGGUAGGAACGCGCCAUGUUGAAUUAGAAAUGAGCAGUGCGGUACCGGCUGGAGGAAUAGCUCUGCUUGGCAAUCUUGAAAUAAAUGCAGCUGGGAUAAUUUUCGAUUCAACCCUUGGCAAACCUUCAGUGUGUACAAGAAAAAAAAAAGCUGUGGAGGAGGCUUAACUGCUGUAGGCGCUCAGCAGCCAUCACUCUAUCUCUCGAAGUUUCCAGUAAACGGUAGGUCAGCUCUGCGUCCUGCUGAGGUCUGGUGAGCACUCUGGGAAGAAAUGAUUCUUAUUAAGUGAGUUCAUACGUCUAAUUGCUGAGCACAGGGCCUGGCACACUGAAGUGCUUAAUGAAUAUUAGCUUUUAUUUUUAAAACGUAUUAUUAUUUAGGAUUAUUAACUUCCUAGGGCUCAAUGGGUACCCUGAAGGGUCACGAUUAUGGACCCAAUUUCCUCCUCUACCCGUAUGGUCUCUCAGUUCUAGACUGACAUACCCAGGCUUUAUACCCCACGCCUUCAAAGGAGACCACGUACUGCUGGGAAAGUGGCUUUCAGUUCCAUAGCAGCUCUGAAACUGAUUUCUGUAUUACAAGGUUUCAGGUGAUCAUGGUUCACUGGUAGAAUCAGGGAAGUUCAGCAGCCGACAGAAUCUCCCCCUUCUGGGCCGAUUCCUUUCUGAGUUCCCAGGAGAACUAGGUUUUGGAAUUUUCCCUAAAUGUCUAUCCUCCUAGGGCUGAAUCGAACCUUUGGCGUUUCCUGUUCUACACUGGGAACCAGAAGCUUUCUGAAUUAUCUCAUAGGACAUUUCCUGAUCUGUGAAUCUUUUAGAGCCUGAAGAUCAUGUUUUUCCCCUCAUCAUCUCCUGACUCUCAGUCUCCAAGGAACAUGUGCGUAUUUCAUUACAACUCCACCGUUUCCCGCGUUCGGUGAUAAAUACGUGAGCUACAAGAGUGUACAUUCAUAACACAACACCAAAGGUUGGCAGUACAGAUUUAUGGCUCAUUACAUCAUUUUAGUGUGGGGCUGAUUCACCCAGUCAGUUUAUUUAGCAAUAAGAGAAUAUUAAAGAAGGCAACUGUACCAACCUACACCAGCCCCUGUCUCGGCUGGGUCCAUUACUUCCGCCCUCUCCUAUCAGUGGCUUCAUAAGGUCGAUCUGCGCUCGCAGAGAUAGGCCUUGUCAGGGAGCCAGAGCGGGAGCUUCCCAACAGGCCCUGUCUGUACUCAGGGACUUCAAGAAGCAGAGGACGCUGUGAAUCUAAAAACAUAGCAUUCCUCUCAUAAGGAUUACAUUUUCACUUUUGAGGUUUUGAGUGUUCCUCUCUCUUUUUUAUUUUUAAUUUUUUUAAAUGUUUAUUUAUUUUUGAGAGAGAGGGAGAAAGAGUGUGAGUGGGAGAAGGGCAGAGAGAGAGAGAGGGAGACACAGCAUCCGAAGCAAGCUCCAGGCCCUGAGCUGUCAGCACAGAGCCUGAUGCGGGCCUCGAACCCAUGAACCGUUGAGAUCGUGACCUGAGCCUAAGUCAGACGUUAAACCAGCUGAGCCACCAGGUGCCCCUGGAGUGUUCUUCUCUUGCUAUUGUUUACUCCAUCCUUUGUUGUUCAGAUAAGCUCAUUCUGCCUUCUACCUCCAGAAUGAGGCUCUCUUUCCUGGCACAUCCUGGUCAGCCAGAGUCAUUUUAUCCCACCCUGCCGGUGUCACUCGUCACAAAGCUCUUGACGUUCAAUUAGGAAUAAAUAAGUUACCACCAGAAUCAAAGUCAAGUUGAGUUUAUCAAACAUUGGGUGUUUUCUCAUGGGGGGGGGGGUGAAGGAUGGUGGAAAUAGGUGAUGGGGAUGAAAAGGACACUUACCGUGAUGAGCAGUAGGUAAUGUACAGGAUUGUUGAAUCGCUAUAUUGUACCCCCCAAACUGAUAUCACACUGUAUGUUAUCUGUGCUGGAAUUAAAAUUAAAAAGCUUAAUUUAAAAAAGGGAUGUUUCCAACAUUUUAUUUUUAAAAGCUUCAACUCUACAGACAUGUUGAAAGAACUGUGCAGCGAGCACCCCUCUACCUGUCGCCCAGAGUCCACAGUUAGUAUUUUUAUUUAUUAUAUAACCAUCUAUCCACCCAUCAGCCCAUCUUAUCAUGUUAGCCUUUUGUUUUGAAGUAAUUUUAGAUUUACAGAAAAGUUGCAAGAAUAGUGCAUAGGGUUCCCAAAUACCUUUCAUCAGCUUCCCCCGAUGUUAGCAUCUUACAGAACCAUCACACAAUGAUCAAGUCAACAUUAGAAUGAUCUGACACAACACUGCCAGUAAUAUAACCUUAUUUUUAAGAACCUUUCUAACAGUGAGUUUCUAUUUUUUAUUAAAAAGAUUUUUUUUUUCCAGCUGGACUUUAAAUAAAAACUUGGGAAACGAUGCUGCAACACUAUUAAUGAAUCUACACAUCUUACUUGAAUUUCAUCAAAUUUCCCACUAAGGUUCUUUUCCUGGUGGAGGAUGUGAUCCAGGCUCCCGCCCUGCACGUAGUUGUAGUAUGUUCUUUGUCUCCGGCCUAUGACAGCUCCUCUGUUUCACAUACUCUUGACCCUUUUGAUGUAUACUAGCCAUUUAUUUUUUGAAUGUCCUUCAAUUUGGGUUUGUCUGAAGUUUUCUCAUGAUUACACCAAGACUGCAUU
Molecule: long non-coding RNA, 14195 nt
Organism: Acinonyx jubatus (cheetah)
Lineage: Eukaryota; Metazoa; Chordata; Mammalia; Carnivora; Felidae
Exons: 3
Source: RefSeq, a predicted model, not a curated record